GGAUGUGAGGGCGAUCUGGCUGCGACAUCUGUCACCCCAUUGAUCGCCAGGGUUGAUUCGGCUGAUCUGGCUGGCUAGGCGGGUGUCCCCUUCCUCCCUCACCGCUCCAUGUGCGUCCCUCCCGAAGCUGCGCGCUCGGUCGAAGAGGACGACCAUCCCCGAUAGAGGAGGACCGUUCUUCGGUCAAGGGUAUACGAGUAGCUGCGCUCCCCUGCUAGAACCUCCAAACAAGCUCUCAAAGAUGUUUAUAAAUGUAUUCACCAUUUUGAAUAAUCAUGGUAACAUUUCAUUGGCAAAGAUUUUUAAAAUCAGGAUCUAUAGUGUUUCCACUAUUCAACACUU
This 342-nucleotide small nuclear RNA is filed under the name Canis lupus familiaris (dog). RNAcentral's name for it is "7SK RNA". It matches the Rfam family "7SK RNA". From Rfam's summary of the family: 7SK was discovered as an abundant small nuclear RNA in the mid-70s but a possible function has only recently been suggested. Lineage: Eukaryota; Metazoa; Chordata; Mammalia; Carnivora; Canidae. RNAcentral also lists the same sequence under 1 other name. The record is from Rfam by way of RNAcentral.